CUGGGGGCUCCCACCGCCGGCCACUUUGCCCCUGGGGGGACCGAGCAGCUUUGUUCUUGGGCAGCAGCUGGGCUGGCUGCCGCCGCUGCACUUCUCCCGGAGGACCUGUGUCCCCUUUGCUUAUGUGUGUGUUUUUCCAGCACUUUCUGUUUUAUUUUCCAAGUUCCAAGCCUAACCUUUUUGCUUUAUUUCUUUAGUUAUUGGUCUUAAAACUAGCUCUUUCUAGGCACCCGUGCCCCCAGACUUAUUACAAGCCUUAUCUCAAGACUGAGAUUGCUAGAUCUUCUUUUUGGUGGGGGCAGAGUGAGAGGGGUCGCUGGCCUGUGACCCCUCCACCCCCCAGGAGGGGGCCGCCUGGGGCUGGCUCCUUCCAGGACUCUGCUUCCGGUGAAUUCCUGCUCUGGACUGGAACCCUAGCUGGCAUCGUUUUCAGCUUCUGCCCUGGCAGGGUAUGUUCCCGUAGAGCCUGGUGCCGCCUCCUCCUGGCCAAGAGAUGCGUGUUCCCACGCGCGGGAGAGCCGUGGCCUGCCUCCUGUGGCUGCUGUUGCUGUGGAGCGGGGACGGCGGCUGUCGGGCCCAGAGGGCAGGCUGCAAGACCGUGCACUACGACCUGGUCUUCCUCUUGGACACCUCCUCCAGCGUGGGCAAGGAGGACUUUGAGAAGGUGCGGCAGUGGGUGGCCAACCUGGUGGACACCUUCGAGGUGGGUCCCGAGCGCACCCGCGUGGGCGUGGUGCGCUACAGCGACCGGC
This 752-nucleotide long non-coding RNA is filed under the name Lynx canadensis (Canada lynx). RNAcentral describes it as "lncRNA (ENSLCNG00005021898.1)". Lineage: Eukaryota; Metazoa; Chordata; Mammalia; Carnivora; Felidae. The record is from RNAcentral.